CUACGGGGCGCUGCAGUGAGGAAUAUUGCACAAUGGGGGAAACCCUGAUGCAGCAACGCCGCGUGGAGGAUGACGCAUUUCGGUGUGUAAACUCCUUUUAUCAGAGAAGAAGAUGACGGUAUCUGAUGAAUAAGCUCCGGCUAACUCCGUGCCAGCAGCCGCGGUAAUACGGAGGGAGCAAGCGUUAUUCGGAAUCACUGGGCGUAAAGGACGCGUAGGCGGGUUAGAAAGUCAGGUGUGAAAGCCAACAGCUCAACUGUUGAACAGCACUUGAAACUCCUAACCUAGAGUAUGGAAGGGGCAGAUGGAAUUAGUGGUGUAGGGGUAACAUCCGUAGAUAUCACUAGGAAUACCGAAAGCGAAAGCGAUCUGCUGGGACAUUACUGACGCUGAGGCGUGAAAGCGUGGGGAGCAAACAGGAUUAGAUACCCCCGUAGUC
This 439-nucleotide ribosomal RNA is filed under the name uncultured bacterium. Its description in RNAcentral is "partial 16S ribosomal RNA". It matches the Rfam family "Bacterial small subunit ribosomal RNA", at positions 339 to 795 of the family's 1533-position model. The record is from RNAcentral.